Molecule: ribosomal RNA, 106 nt
Organism: Mustela putorius furo (domestic ferret)
Lineage: Eukaryota; Metazoa; Chordata; Mammalia; Carnivora; Mustelidae
Source: Ensembl
GUCUACGGCCAUACCACUGUGAACGCGCCUGAUCUCUGAUCUCGGAGGCUAAGCAGGGUCAUGCCUGGUUAGUACUUGGAUGGGAGAAGCACAGGCACAGAAAUCA